This 497-nucleotide ribosomal RNA is filed under the name uncultured bacterium. RNAcentral describes it as "partial 16S ribosomal RNA". It matches the Rfam family "Bacterial small subunit ribosomal RNA", at positions 28 to 507 of the family's 1533-position model. The record is from RNAcentral.
GAUGAACGCUGGCGGCGUGCCUAAUACAUGCAAGUCGAGCGAACAGACGAGGAGCUUGCUCCUCUGACGUUAGCGGCGGACGGGUGAGUAACACGUGGAUAACCUACCUAUAAGACUGGGAUAACUUCGGGAAACCGGAGCUAAUACCGGAUAAUAUAUUUAACCGCAUGGUUCAAUAGUGAAAGACGGUUUUGCUGUCACUUAUAGAUGGAUCCGCGCCGCAUUAGCUAGUUGGUAAGGUAACGGCUUACCAAGGCAACGAUGCGUAGCCGACCUGAGAGGGUGAUCGGCCACACUGGAACUGAGACACGGUCCAGACUCCUAAGGGAGGCAGCAGUAGGGAAUCUUCCGCAAUGGGCGAAAGCUUGACGGAGCAACGCCGCGUGAGUGAUGAAGGUCUUCGGAUCGUAAAACUCUGUUAUUAGGGAAGAACAAAUGUGUAAGUAACUAUGCACGUCUUGACGGUACCUAAUCAGAAAGCCACGGCUAACUACGUG